This 388-nucleotide ribosomal RNA is filed under the name uncultured bacterium. RNAcentral's name for it is "bacterial SSU rRNA". It matches the Rfam family "Bacterial small subunit ribosomal RNA", at positions 28 to 417 of the family's 1533-position model. The record is from RNAcentral.
GACGAACGCUGGCGGCGUGCUUAACACAUGCAAGUCGAGCGGUAAGGCCCUUUCGGGGGUACGACGAGCGGCGAGCGGGUGAGUAACACGUGGGUGACCUGCCCUUAGCUCUGGGAUAAGCCUGGGAAACUGGGUCUAAUACCGGAUAUGACUCCAUGACGCAUGUUGUGGGGUGGAAAGCCUUGUGCGGCUAGGGAUGGGCCCGCGGCCUAUCAGCUUGUUGGUGGGGUGAGGCCUACCAAGGCGACGACGGGUAGCCGGCCUGAGAGGGCGACCGGCCACACUGGGACUGAGACACGGGCCCAGACUCCUACGGGAGGCAGCAGUGGGGAAUCUUGCGCAAUGGGCGAAAGCCUGACGCAGCGACGCCGCGUGGGGAUGACGGCCU